This 439-nucleotide ribosomal RNA is filed under the name uncultured bacterium. Its description in RNAcentral is "bacterial SSU rRNA". It matches the Rfam family "Bacterial small subunit ribosomal RNA", at positions 467 to 905 of the family's 1533-position model. The record is from RNAcentral.
AAAUGACGGUACCUGACUAAGAAGCCCCGGCUAACUACGUGCCAGCAGCCGCGGUAAUACGUAGGGGGCAAGCGUUAUCCGGAAUUACUGGGUGUAAAUGGUGCGUAGGUGGUAUGGCAAGUCAGAAGUGAAAACCCAGGGCUUAACUCUGGGACUGCUUUUGAAACUGUCAGACUGGAGUGCAGGAGAGGUAAGCGGAAUUCCUAGUGUAGCGGUGAAAUGCGUAGAUAUUAGGAGGAACAUCAGUGGCGAAGGCGGCUUACUGGACUGAAACUGACACUGAGGCACGAAAGCGUGGGGAGCAAACAGGAUUAGAUACCCUGGUAGUCCACGCGGUAAACGAUGAAUGCUAGGUGUCGGGUGACGAAGUCAUUCGGUGCCGCCGCAAACGCAUUAAGCAUUCCACCUGGGGAGUACGUUCGCAAGAAUGAAACUCAAA